UGGGGAAUAUUGCACAAUGGGCGCAAGCCUGAUGCAGCGACGCCGCGUGAGGGAUGACGGCCUUCGGGUUGUAAACCUCUUUCACCAGGGACGAAGCGCAAGUGACGGUACCUGGAGAAGAAGCACCGGCCAACUACGUGCCAGCAGCCGCGGUAAUACGUAGGGUGCGAGCGUUGUCCGGAAUUACUGGGCGUAAAGAGCUCGUAGGUGGUUUGUCGCGUUGUUCGUGAAAACUCACAACUCAAUUGUGGGCGUGCGGGCGAUACGGGCAGACUAGAGUACUGCAGGGGAGACUGGAAUUCCUGGUGUAGCGGUGGAAUGCGCAGAUAUCAGGAGGAACACCGGUGGCGAAGGCGGGUCUCUGGGCAGUAACUGACGCUGAGGAGCGAAAAGCGUGGGGAGCGAACAGGAUUAGAUACCCUGGUAGUCCACGCCGUAAACGGUGGGUACUAGGUGUGGGUUCCUUCCUUGGGAUCCGUGCCGUAGCUAACGCAUUAAGUACCCCGCCUGGGGAGUACGGCCGCAAGGCUAAAACUCAAAGGAAUUGACGGGGUCAUAGCUGUUUCCU
This 568-nucleotide ribosomal RNA is filed under the name uncultured bacterium. RNAcentral's name for it is "partial 16S ribosomal RNA". It matches the Rfam family "Bacterial small subunit ribosomal RNA", at positions 355 to 1375 of the family's 1533-position model. The record is from RNAcentral.